CGGCUUUUCCAGCCAACGCCCUAAUUUCAGAAACCUGUAUAAAUAACCCAACGGUCCUCUCCCCUCUCAGUCCUCUGCUGUGUUGGCGGCUCAAAUUAGGGUUUGGGACUACUUCCCAAAUUCAGAUUGCAAAGGUUUCUUAUGAAGACUGUAGGGCGCUGAAUUCAGGAAUCUGAUCACCUCAUUCUCAUUGUGAAGAAACCAAAUUGUUGACAGGAAGUGUGCUUGAGAUGUGGAUAGCUGCAGUGUCACUUAUUACAGUUCUUACCCUGUGUAUUUAGAAUUAAGCUAUUACUUGCAGCUACGUUGUUGGACUCGAUUGUUUGUGAUGAAUAAGAAACGGAAUUGUUUUA
Pyrus x bretschneideri (Chinese white pear) is the source of this 353-nucleotide long non-coding RNA. RefSeq lists it as uncharacterized. NCBI's taxonomy places the organism in Eukaryota, Viridiplantae, Streptophyta, Magnoliopsida, Rosales, Rosaceae. The transcript is spliced from 2 exons. The record is from RefSeq and is a predicted model, not a curated record.